AGCGAACGCUGGCGGCAGGCCUAAUACAUGCAAGUCGGGCGCCCCUUCGGGGGAGCGGCGGACGGGUGAGUAACGCGUGGGAACGUGCCCUUUGGUACGGAACAACUGAGGGAAACUUCAGCUAAUACCGUAUGUGCCCUUCGGGGGAAAGAUUUAUCGCCAUUGGAGCGGCCCGCGUUGGAUUAGGUAGUUGGUGGGGUAAAGGCCCACCAAGCCUACGAUCCAUAGCUGGUCUGAGAGGAUGAUCAGCCACACUGGGACUGAGGCACGGCCCAGACUCCUACGGGAGGCAGCAGUAGGGAAUCUUGCGCAAUGGGCGAAAGCCUGACGCAGCCACGCCGCGUGUAUGAUGAAGGUCUUAGGAUUGUAAAAUACUUUCACCGGGGAAGAUAAUGACGGUACCCGGAGAAGAAGCCCCGGCUAACUUCGUGCCAGCAGCCGCCGUAA
RNAcentral lists this ribosomal RNA (447 nucleotides) under uncultured bacterium. RNAcentral's name for it is "partial 16S ribosomal RNA". It matches the Rfam family "Bacterial small subunit ribosomal RNA", at positions 29 to 523 of the family's 1533-position model. The record is from RNAcentral.